CCUACGGGAGGCAGCAGUGAGGAAUAUUGGUCAAUGGACGAGAGUCUGAACCAGCCAAGUAGCGUGAAGGAUGACUGCCCUAUGGGUUGUAAACUUCUUUUAUAUGGGAAUAAAAUGUUCCACGUGUGGGAUUUUGUAUGUACCAUAUGAAUAAGGAUCGGCUAACUCCGUGCCAGCAGCCGCGGUAAUACGGAGGAUCCGAGCGUUAUCCGGAUUUAUUGGGUUUAAAGGGAGCGUAGGUGGAUUGUUAAGUCAGUUGUGAAAGUUUGCGGCUCAACCGUAAAAUUGCAGUUGAAACUGGCAGUCUUGAGGACAGUAGAGGUGGGCGGAAUUCGUGGUGGAGCGGUGAAAUGCUUAGAUAUCACGAAGAACUCCGAUUGCGAAGGCAGUUCACUGGACUGCAACUGACACUGAGGCUCGAAAGUGUGGGUAUCAAACAGGAUUAGAUACCCCAGUAGUC
Molecule: ribosomal RNA, 460 nt
Filed under: uncultured bacterium
Lineage: Bacteria
Description: partial 16S ribosomal RNA
Rfam family: Bacterial small subunit ribosomal RNA
Source: RNAcentral